AUGCGUGCAGGCAUAGAGGAGGUCUUUCCGUUGGCAGUGCACAGGCACUGCAGGUGGCACAUUAUAAAGAAGGCUGAGGAGAUGCUAGGACCGUUCUUUGCUGACCAUCCAGAUCUGCACAAGGCAUUCGAGAUGUGCGUGGACCACAGCUUGACGGUGGAGGAGUUCGAACGGAGCUGGAUGGCUAUGAUUGAAACAUAUCAAGUCCAAGACCAUGAGACGCUAGCUAGCCUGUGGGAGAAGCGAAUGUACUGGGUGCCGGCCUACUUCAUGCAGUGCUUCUUCCCAUUUCUGCAGAUUACACAGCGCAACGAGGGGUUCAAUGCUGUUUUGAAGCGGUACGUGAGCCCUGGCAACUCAUUGCUACAGUUUGCCAAGCAGUACACCGCUUUGCAACAGAAAAUACUGGGAUCUGAGCUACAGCAAGAAGCAAACACCGCGCUCAAGCAGCCUAAAUUGCUAACAUAUUUACCAAUGGAGAGGCAGAUGAGCAAGACAUAUACCAACAAGAUUUUUAACAAGUCAGUUGUGUUACAGUCUUAUUUGCACAAGCAUGAAGUCAGUAGGUGCCAUGUAGAAUGCAAUGCAGUUGAAAAGCUUAUUGAAAAUGAUGAUAUUUUGAAAGUAGCCAUUGAGUACAAAGUAACCAUGAUAUGUAGUUGCCAUGUGAAGUCAACUACAGUUGCCAUGUUUAAUGAACUGCAAUUUCCAUGUUUAAUGAACUACAGUUUCCAUGUUUAA
Molecule: ribosomal RNA, 741 nt
Filed under: Triticum aestivum (bread wheat)
Lineage: Eukaryota; Viridiplantae; Streptophyta; Magnoliopsida; Poales; Poaceae
Description: partial small subunit ribosomal RNA
Source: RNAcentral